UGCAGGCAGAGCCAGCCAUAUUUAAAGGGAAAGAUGUCAUGAAGUUGAUCAAGUUGGAAGAACGUCACAUGUUUUUAGUGCAGUGCAGAAUCAAUGGUGUAUUUCCAAUGUCCAUUAACAAAUUAAAGUUACUGGUAAGAUCAAAAAUUUUACUAGCUAGUACCAAAAGACAUUGUUUGUCGGCUGCUAUUACGGAUUCAAGAAGGCAAUUAUAUUGUUGGAAAUUUUACAUGCAGAGGUUUACACUUCAAGAAUGUUGAGCAAUUAAAGCUUGUUCUACCAUCUUUUAUGAGGUUUGUUGAUACGAAUCAACGCAAGAUUAGGAAAAGAUAUAUUAAAAAGCUAUGGUUGUUGAUAUCUAAACAAAUUAAAAAGAACGCUCCUAAUAACAACAAAACGUAUGUAGCCUUGGAUGACAUCAUCAUUCCUAGAUACGUGCACGAUACUUUAGCAAUAGGACCUAAUAAUUUGAUCCAGAACAUUCCCUCUUAGAGGCAUUUAUCAGUUCAACUAGAACUGAUACUCCAAACCUGCGAUCCCAUUAGAACUGACGAUAUUAGGUGGCAGGUAGCUUGAGCCUAUAACAACUAUAAUUUUAAUGAUGUAAAUUCUAUAAGGUCUAAGAUUAAACAGACAGAGAGAUGGUUUGAAGAUAAUAACAUAAUUUGCAUUAGAGAUGAUAAAAGUAAAUUAAUCGUUCUCAUUAAAUAAGAUACAUGUGACUCCUGUAUUAGCAACUUUAUCCAAGAGAACAACUGCCAACCGUUAGAUUACGAUCUGACCGAAACCCUGGAUAGAGAAGUUCAUAAGAUUCUAAGAGAUAAGCGGCUUCCAAGAUUCUUAAAAGAUUCCUAUGUUAAAUCGCCUAGACCCCCCAAGAUUGUUUGCCUUUAUUAAAAGACAUAAAAAUCCGCUAGAAGUAGGACCGGUCAUGGAGUAGUUUUCAGCACCGACAU
Molecule: long non-coding RNA, 956 nt
Filed under: Androctonus crassicauda
Lineage: Eukaryota; Metazoa; Arthropoda; Arachnida; Scorpiones; Buthidae
Source: RNAcentral